AGUGAACGCUGGCGGUAGGCCUAACACAUGCAAGUCGAACGGCAGCACAGUAAGAGCUUGCUCUUACGGGUGGCGAGUGGCGGACGGGUGAGGAAUACAUCGGAAUCUACUUUUUCGUGGGGGAUAACGUAGGAAAACUUACGCUAAUACCGCAUACGACCUACGGGUGAAAGCAGGGGAUCUUCGGACCUUGCGCGAUUGAAUGAGCCGAUGUCGGAUUAGCUAGUUGGCGGGGUAAGGGCCCACCAAGGCGACGAUCCGUAGCUGGUCUGAGAGGAUGAUCAGCCACACUGGAACUGAGACACGGUCCAGACUCCUACGGGAGGCAGCAGUGGGGAAUAUUGGACAAUGGGCGCAAGCCUGAUCCAGCCAUACCGCGUGGGUGAAGAAGGCCUUCGGGUUGUAAAGCCCUUUUAUUGGGAAAGAACAGCAGCAGGUUAAUACCUCGCUGUUUUGACGGUACCCAAAGAAUAAGCACCGGCUAACUUCGUG
This 492-nucleotide ribosomal RNA is filed under the name uncultured bacterium. RNAcentral's name for it is "partial 16S ribosomal RNA". It matches the Rfam family "Bacterial small subunit ribosomal RNA", at positions 29 to 507 of the family's 1533-position model. The record is from RNAcentral.